This is a long non-coding RNA of Esox lucius (northern pike), 319 nucleotides long. RefSeq lists it as uncharacterized. The transcript is spliced from 3 exons. The record is from RefSeq and is a predicted model, not a curated record. Lineage: Eukaryota; Metazoa; Chordata; Actinopteri; Esociformes; Esocidae.
ACUAUUUAUUUUAUUGGUUCACGAACCACCAUCCCUAGAAAAAGUUCCCUACUAAACUUCUGUGGACGGUUUAAAGACAUGAAAUAGAUCAAGUUCGUUCCGAAACCAAGAAAGGACUGCGCUAUUUGUGUGCGUUCAUCUUCCAGUCUAAGAAGAUAGACUGAAGAGUACUGCCUCUAAAAUGAGUCUCUCUGGGGAGAGCGAGGAGGGGGACACUGCCUCUAAAAAUAGUAUUUUUGGGGAACAUGACAUUACAGCUAAUAGGGUAAUCCAGCAGAAGAGACCAGUCUCCCCUGUACCCAACUGUGUGUCCAUGAAG